RNAcentral lists this ribosomal RNA (459 nucleotides) under Alcanivorax borkumensis. RNAcentral's name for it is "bacterial SSU rRNA". It matches the Rfam family "Bacterial small subunit ribosomal RNA", at positions 461 to 917 of the family's 1533-position model. The record is from RNAcentral. Lineage: Bacteria; Pseudomonadati; Pseudomonadota; Gammaproteobacteria; Oceanospirillales; Alcanivoracaceae.
AUAAGUACUUGACGUUUCCUACAGAAGAAGCACCGGCUAAUUUCGUGCCAGCAGCCGCGGUAAUACGAAAGGUGCGAGCGUUAAUCGGAAUUACUGGGCGUAAAGCGCGCGUAGGCGGUUUGCUCAGCCAGAUGUGAGAGCCCCGGACUCAACCUGGGAACUGCAUUUGAAACUGGCAGGCUAGAAUGCAGUAAAGGGAGGUGGAAUUUCCGGUGUAGCAGCGAAAUGCGUAGAGAUCGGAAGGAACACCAGUGGCGAAGGCGACCUCCUGGACUGACAUUAACGCUGAGGAUGCGAAAGCGCGGGGAGCAAACAGGAUUAGAUACCCUGGUAGUCCACGCCGUAAACGAUGUCUACUAGUCGCUGGGAAUCUUAGUAUUCUUGGUGACGAAGAUAACGCGAUAAGUAGACCGCCUGGGGAGUACUGCCGGAAGGUUAAAACUCAAAGGAAUUGACGGA